CGUUACAACCUGUUAUCUACGAGUAAAUGCGAUAGAUUUCGUAACCAUUUAUACUUGUAUACACUCCACUCAUACAAACCCAAUUACUGGGUUUGAUUACCAAGGAUCACUUCUACCCAGUAAUCUCACAUCUAAUAAAACUUAAAAUGGGGAUGAGAUAGUUCGUCAGAUUUCUGUAAAUUCGCUAUUCCACAAUAAUUUUGUGAGAUCUAAAAGUUCCCUCAUCGCCUUCUUGAUCUUCGACUACACCAUUGUUCAGACUGAUCUUCACGAACACCUUGUCGAUAUAUAUUUGAUCGACCACUUUCCUUCACUCUCCAUGCUGUGUUGAUUAACAGGGGCUUCAUUUAAUCGAAGAUGAAUGGAGGGACGUGGUGGGCUGGUGG
RNAcentral lists this long non-coding RNA (386 nucleotides) under Rosa chinensis. Its description in RNAcentral is "sRNA RchiOBHm_Chr1g0313731". Lineage: Eukaryota; Viridiplantae; Streptophyta; Magnoliopsida; Rosales; Rosaceae. The record is from RNAcentral.